CCGGCACGGGUGAGUAACACGUAUCCAACCUGCCGUCUACUCUUGGACAGCCUUCUGAAAGGAAGAUUAAUACAAGAUGGCAUCAUGAGUUCACAUGUUCACAUGAUUAAGGGUAUUCCGGUAGGCGAUGGGGAUGCGUUCCAUUAGAUAGUAGGCGGGGUAACGGCCCACCUAGUCUUCGAUGGAUAGGGGUUCUGAGAGGAAGGUCCCCCACAUUGGAACUGAGACACGGUCCAA
RNAcentral lists this ribosomal RNA (237 nucleotides) under uncultured bacterium. RNAcentral's name for it is "partial 16S ribosomal RNA". It matches the Rfam family "Bacterial small subunit ribosomal RNA", at positions 100 to 334 of the family's 1533-position model. The record is from RNAcentral.